Molecule: non-coding RNA, 27 nt
Filed under: Rattus norvegicus (Norway rat)
Lineage: Eukaryota; Metazoa; Chordata; Mammalia; Rodentia; Muridae
Source: RNAcentral
UCAGCAGGAAGGUGAGAAUUCACAAGU